AUGAAGCCGGACGGAGGGAGUAUGGUUUUUACGUUGUUAACUGUUACAUGGUGGGAAGAAGAAGAUAUUAAAGCCGAAAAGGAUAACCGUUUGUUGGUUUUCAUUUUUUCUGCUUUCUAUUUUUUGAAUCUACUUUUUUUUCUCUUCAUUUUUUAUGGUGAGAGACCAUUGGUCCAUUGUAAAAAUGGAGAGACAUGA
Non-coding RNA from Vicia faba (fava bean), 198 nucleotides. The record is from the annotation of a GenBank genome assembly. Lineage: Eukaryota; Viridiplantae; Streptophyta; Magnoliopsida; Fabales; Fabaceae.